GGGUUCCCCAUCACCAUCGCCACCGUCUCCAGGAGGCUCCCGUUGGCCAGACGGGAAUGGGUGACACCAGGAGGGAUGCAGGUGGCUGGGAUGCUGCUCCUGGGAAUCAGCCCCAGUGCUGGCACCCAGCUACUUUUUUUCUUUUCCUUUUCUUUUGCCAGCAAGUGGAGAGGUACUGGCAGCAGCAGAGUCACCAGAGGUUUUCCUGCAGAAAGAAACACAAGCUGCAAGCGUGCGGGACUGGCAGCCCGUGAGCUGGGCAGAGACAGCCUGAUUUCCUCUCCACGCUGGGCAUUUCUCUUCUGAGCUGGCUGUUCUAACGCCUGGGGACACAGGAUCUCACCCCACUGACUGCUCUUCCUUCUCUGACCCAGCCAUCAGCGACUCCUCAGCAUCCUGCUCCCAGAUAUUUGGGAAAACAUUUCCCUCUCCUGUGACGCAAGAGCAUGGUUUGGGAAGCAGCCGAGCAGCCACCCUUUGGGAAUCUGUGUGGGUUGUUUUUGCUUUGAAAGUAAUUCCCAUCUGACUUAGCAAAGGGCUAAGCUAAUUUUACACAUGACUUACUUUCACACCUUUAAGAAGGGGCAGUUCCCUUCUCGAUGAGCAGAGCAUAUGGCAGUGAAAUUGAUUAUUUGCUGAAUGAGUGAGAACACGCAGCACUGAAACUGCCUUUGAUGAUGUGACCAUUGGAAAAGAGCUGCAGAUGUAAAUUGAUUUUUUUUUUCUCCCUGUGCAGAUAUGACCGAAUAGAUCCAGUUACACAUGUGUCUGUGAACUGCAAAGAUUGAAUUUGGUUGUUCCUUUACCCUGAGAAUCGCCGACAAAGAUCACAGGGAAAAAAACAGAGCACAAGCUGCUGUCCCAGCCCGUGUGGGGCCGUGGGUCUCUGCCGGAGCACCCCCAGCCCCUGGCAGUGCAGGGGGUCGGAGCUGCCUCCAUGCGUGGCUGGGAAUCGUCUCCAACAUCCUCGCCGCGAGGGAGCCAGGCACUGUCAGCUCGCGUGACGUUUUAUUUCAGGUUAAUGAAAAGGCUGAGGCAAGAAGGAACAAGCAGACAGGCUCCUCCAAGCGGGCCGUGCAAGAGCCAAACCUGAGCUGACAACCGCCUGCGGGUGG
RNAcentral lists this long non-coding RNA (1115 nucleotides) under Cairina moschata (Muscovy duck). RNAcentral's name for it is "domestica (muscovy Duck (domestic type)) lncRNA (ENSCMMG00000003922.1)". The record is from RNAcentral. Lineage: Eukaryota; Metazoa; Chordata; Aves; Anseriformes; Anatidae.